This is a long non-coding RNA of Passer domesticus (house sparrow), 457 nucleotides long. RefSeq lists it as uncharacterized. The transcript is spliced from 4 exons. Lineage: Eukaryota; Metazoa; Chordata; Aves; Passeriformes; Passeridae. The record is from RefSeq and is a predicted model, not a curated record.
GGACCACGAGGCAUCGCUGCUCACCGUGCACUGGGGUGAGCAGAGGCUGCAGAGCUACUGAGCCACAUAAGAGAUGGGUCACCCUGUGGUGGGCUCUCGGUCUGCCUGGGCUUCUGGGUUUUACCUCCAUUACCAGCCAGCAAACUGAAAAAGGCAGAAGCCCUCCAGAGUGGUUUUAGACGUCCAGGUCAAAGGGAGAGAAAGACAGAGGAGAAAGAGCCUGUACAAAAGUCAGGAUGGAAGGCAUUUUGUUCUGCACAAGUUGGUGAUGAUCCUGAGAUGCAAGUUUAAAUCAGCAAUUGCAUUUAAAUCAGCAUUAAAGGUGAUACUUCACUUGAUGUGUCCCUCUCUCUUGAAUGCCUUAUUUCAUGCAUUUUUGAUUCUUCUUAUGGGAUGGAGAGACUGAGGAUAUGGAAAGAAAAGCAAAAGUACCAAUAAAAUAAAUCAUAGACUGUGA